Molecule: ribosomal RNA, 313 nt
Filed under: uncultured bacterium
Lineage: Bacteria
Description: bacterial SSU rRNA
Rfam family: Bacterial small subunit ribosomal RNA
Source: RNAcentral
ACUCCUACGGGAGGCAGCAGUGGGGAAUAUUGCACAAUGGGCGCAAGCCUGAUGCAGCCAUGCCGCGUGUAUGAAGAAGGCCUUCGGGUUGUAAAGUACUUUCAGCAGUGAGGAAGGUAGUAGUAGUUAAUAGCUUGCUAUUAUUUGACGUUAGCUAGCAAGAAGAAGCGACCGCUAACUCCGUGCCAGCAGCCGCGGUAAUACGGAGGGUGCGAGCGUUAAUCGGAAUUACUGGGCGUAAAGCGCAUGCAGGUGGUUUGUUAAGUCAGAUGUGAAAGCCCGGGGCUCAACCUCGGAAUAUGACAUUGAACAU